Molecule: small RNA, 538 nt
Filed under: Pongo abelii (Sumatran orangutan)
Lineage: Eukaryota; Metazoa; Chordata; Mammalia; Primates; Hominidae
Description: retained intron
Source: RNAcentral
AUUGAUUUCCAAAGAGAGGUGCCAUUGGACCAGAUCUUAUAAAAAUAACUUGGAUAAUUUGAGAGGUUCAUCAUUCUUUUGUGAGUGUGUAUGUGUACAAAUAUAUGCCUAUAUAUUUCAAAUAUAUCUUAAACUUUUAUCUGUAAGACUUUACCUAAUUCAUACUACCAGUUUCUAUGCUUCCUUAAGAUUUUGAGUGUAUCUUGGAUAAAAGAAAAAAACCUCUUCCAUAUGGAAGCCAUAAUAUAGCACUGGGACAACUACCAGAAAUGCCCUGGGAAUCAAAUAUCGAAAUAGUUGGAUCAAGGCUGCCACCAGGGGCUGAAAGGAUUGCUUUGGAAUUUUUGGAAUCAAAAGCACUUUGUAGAAAUAUCCCUCACAUGAAAGGAAAACCUGCUAUGAAAAAACGACAUUUGGAAAUUCUGGGGUAUCGUGUAAUUCAGAUUUCUCAGUUUGAAUGGAACUCUAUGGCACUGUCAACAAAGGAUGCUCGGAUGGACUACCUGAGAGAACGUAUAUUUGGAGAAGUCAAGUCAUG